CAAUAGCGUAUAUUAAAGUUGUUGCGGUUAAAAAGCUCGUAGUUGGAUUUCUGCUGAGGACGACCGGUCCGCCCUCUGGGUGUGUAUCUGGCUCUUUCUUGGCAUCUUCUUGGUGAACGUUGCUGCACUUGACUGUGUGGAGCGCUACCCAGGACUUUUACUUUGAGGAAAUUAGAGUGUUUCAAGCAGGCAUACGCCUUGAAUACAUUAGCAUGGAAUAAUAAGAUAGGACCUCGGUUCUAUUUUGUUGGUUUCUAGAGCUGAGGUAAUGAUUAAUAGGGAUAGUUGGGGGCAUUCGUAUUUAACUGUCAGAGGUGAAAUUCUUGGAUUUGCUAAAGACGGACUACUGCGAAAGCAUUUGCCAAGGAUGUUUUCAUUGA
Molecule: ribosomal RNA, 380 nt
Filed under: uncultured eukaryote
Lineage: Eukaryota
Description: partial 18S ribosomal RNA
Rfam family: Eukaryotic small subunit ribosomal RNA
Source: RNAcentral